GAGAAUUUGAGGCCAGUGAAGUAGAAGACUCUGACAACGAUGGUGAUUAUGAUAGAGGCUGUGUUUGUAAUAUUCUAUGAUCCUGCUCCAUCACUUUCUUCCUCCCCACAAGUUCCUAUAGGGAGUCAAACUUGUGGAUGACUUCAUGAGGAAUGAAAAUGGUGGGACUGUCUAGAACAUGUCCUGGUGUUGUGCUUUUUGUAGGCAGAAAAGGGUCAUCAAUCAUGCUUGUUGAUUGAUGUUUUGGAAACACACUCAAUGGCGACAGCUUCUUGAAUUUCAAGAAUUGAUUUCUUUGCCUCC
Molecule: RNA transcript, 303 nt
Organism: Carica papaya (papaya)
Lineage: Eukaryota; Viridiplantae; Streptophyta; Magnoliopsida; Brassicales; Caricaceae
Gene name: nuclear polyadenylated RNA-binding protein
Source: RefSeq, a predicted model, not a curated record